UGAAAAGGAAUCUGGACAUGGAGUAUAAUAAAGAAAGGGGGAUAUCAUGAUCUCUUCAUAAACCAAGAAAUUCAAGCUUAGAAAGGCAAGGACCCACUUAGAAUUAAAUGGUGCUAGUAGCGGCCUCUCUUCCCAGUUGUGACAACCAAGAAUGUCUCUGGACAUUGGCAGAUGUUUCCUGGGAAACAAAAUCCCCCUGCCAUUGUGAAGCACUGAUCUACACAGGUACCAUCCAGGACAUUGUACCCAUGUACCCAUUUCACCUACCCUCUAGCUGCAAGGUGUUCCUGGCCAUAGCUCCUUGCCCUGAGGACACAUUUGAUUUUUUAAAAGG
Long non-coding RNA from Suricata suricatta (meerkat), 334 nucleotides. RefSeq lists it as uncharacterized. NCBI's taxonomy places the organism in Eukaryota, Metazoa, Chordata, Mammalia, Carnivora, Herpestidae. The transcript is spliced from 3 exons. The record is from RefSeq and is a predicted model, not a curated record.